GGGUUUCACCAGAAGUAGGUAGCCUAACCGCAAGGAGGGCGCUUACCACGGCGGGAUUCAUGACUGGGGUGAAGUCGUAACAAGGUAGCCGUAGGUGAACCUGCAGAAGGAUCA
RNAcentral lists this ribosomal RNA (114 nucleotides) under uncultured eukaryote. Its description in RNAcentral is "partial small subunit ribosomal RNA". It matches the Rfam family "Bacterial small subunit ribosomal RNA", at positions 1412 to 1525 of the family's 1533-position model. The record is from RNAcentral.